GUACGGCCGCAAGGCUGAAACUUAAAGGAAUAGGCGGGGGAGCACUACAACGGGUGGAGCCUGCGGUUUAAUUGGAUUCAACGCCGGAAAUCUCACCGGGGGCGACAGCAUGAUGAAGGCCAGGCUGAAGACCUUGCCUGAUCCGCUGAGAGGUGGUGCAUGGCCGUCGUCAGUUCGUACUGUGAAGCAUCCUGUUAAGUCAGGCAACGAGCGAGACCCACGCCCACAGUUGCCAGCGAGCCCUUCGGGGUGGCGGGUACUCUGUGGGGACCGCCGCUGCUAAAGCGGAGGAAGGAAUGGGCAACGGUAGGUCAGUAUGCCCCGAAUCUCCCGGGCUACACGCGGGCUACAAUGGUCGGUACAAUGGGUAUCUACCCCGAGAGGGGAUGGAAAUCUCCUAAAACCGGUCGUAGUUCGGAUUGAGGGCUGCAACUCGCCCUCAUGAAGCUGGAAUCCGUAGUAAUCGCGUUUCAACAGAACGCGGUGAAUACGUCCCUGCUCCUUGCACACACCGCCCGUCAAACCACCCGAGUAGGGUCUGGAUAAGGGUGCGCCAUGUUGACGCAUUCGAAUCUGGGCUUUGCAAGGGGGGUUAAGUCGUAACAAGGUAACCAAGGGCGAAU
This 623-nucleotide ribosomal RNA is filed under the name uncultured archaeon. RNAcentral's name for it is "bacterial SSU rRNA". It matches the Rfam family "Archaeal small subunit ribosomal RNA", at positions 835 to 1458 of the family's 1478-position model. The record is from RNAcentral.